ACUUUUUAAUCAAAGAACCCUGUUUUUUAUUCUCUGCCUUCGUGCCUAAAAAAUAAAUCUAUUCGGCGUUUUUUUUUCACAGACUGAAUGACCUCAUCAAUUUGACCACGCCCCUUUCCGUUUGUCACGUCUGUCCUGAGUUGUUGGGUUUGUUGCUUUCAUGUUGCUCGACUACAACCAGGAAGUAAAUGCAGGAUUAUGUCACAUGAUCCGGUCAGCGACGUUAUUGAUAUUAUUUAGAAUACAUCUGACAUAUACAAAUAACAAACCCGAGAAUUCAGUAGAGAAAUAUUCAGAACAGCAAGUAAGAAAAUGCCAGCUUCUUAUUUUUCAUGAUUGUAUCAUUUAUCAAGCUCAAAACUUCACACUCAUUGAACGCUUCCGUUAGUUUUAACCCUUUUGGCAGAGCUUUACUCUGAAUGUCUUGGUAGUUUCCUGUCAGGAGCCACUAAAUAUGGACGUGUAUCACAGUGCGUUCUGGGAGGUGCCCUUGAUUCGCUGACGGUGUCAGAAGGCUUUUUGUUGGGUGCAAUAUUGUGUUUCUGAUUAAUGUUUUAUUACCAUUAAAAUGUUUGUCUUCACUUAUAAAUAAUACGCCUUGUUAAGAAGUUUCAUGAACACGUGAAUGUUUAUGAGCAACACAUUAAUAAAUGUUUGAACUCAUUUUUUGUUUAGUAAUAUUCAGAAGGUCAAAGGUCUUCAGCAUCUUCAAAGGUCAAGACCUUUGACCUCCUUCACCACCUUUGACCCAAAAGCUUUGGUGAGAGGAAGUGAAUUUCAUCACGCUGAGUUUGUGUUGAGGAGCAUUCUGGGUAAUGAGGUACUCAUUGAACUCCACAGUAUUAUUGUUAAAGUAGCAUUUGGACUCACUGGCUGACUCCGUCCUGCUGGUCCUCCGUUCUGUCUCCUCGCUGUCCCACAGUGUCUCUACACUAUCCUGUCCUAAACCCCUUUGCCGUCCCCAGUGUCAUGGUGACUGUCCUCCGUCCCCAGUGUCAUGGUGACUGUCCCCCGUCCCCAGUGUCAUGGUGACUGUCCCCCGUCCCCAGUGUCAUGGUGACCGUCCUAGUUGGCGUCUCACUGUAUCUGUCAGCUUCUCCUUCCCUCGGUUGAAUUGUAACAUCUACAGCGAGAUAUUAAUACAUUUAUGUAUGACGUGAAUGUUGGACAAUACUUUUCCAUAAACACAACUAAAACUAUGACUUUACAUUUUGUUUAGCUAAGGCUUAGAAUAAACAAAGAACACUUGCUACUAGAGUUUCCCUGUUUUUUAUAUUAUGUAUAUAUAUAUAUAUAUUAAUUCAACUCUACAUUGUUAAUGCCAUGUAUGCACCACCCACCAUGACAAAUUCCUUGUAUGUCCAACAUACCCAGCAAAUAUAUGUUUAUUCAUAAGUAUUUACCCCCUUUACUGUAAAACUCCUCAUAAAGAUCUGGUCACAUAAUUAGCAGAUAGGGUCCACCGGUCUGCUAUUUAAUCUCAAGAUAAAUGCACGUGAUCUGUGAAGGCCUCAGAGUCUGUUAGAAAGGGUUACUGAACAAAGAGCAUCACGAAGACCAAGGAGCUGACCCAAGUAUGAAGCAGGGUUAGCUUCUAAAAAACCAUUCCAAGCUUUGAACACUUAUAAAAUCCAUCAUCAACAAAUGGAAAGAAUAUGGCACAACCACAAAGCCACCAAGAGAAGGCCGUCCACCCAAACUGACCGCAAGGAGAAGAUGAAUCAGAGAAGCAACCAAGAGGCUCAAACUGUGGAGGAGCUGCAAAGACACCACCCAUCACCCUGAGCACACCACCCCAACGGGGAAACAGGGUGGUGGUAGCAUCAUGCUGUGGGGAUGCUUCUCUUCAGCAGCUACAGGAAACUAGUCACUGUGAGGGGAAGAUGGAUAGAGACAAAUACAGGGCGAUCCUUGAAGAAAAUAUGAUGCAGUCUGUAAAAGACUUGAGACUUCCAGCAGGACGAUGACCCUCAACAUACAGCAGCGCCACAAUCAAUAGUUUAGAUCAAAGCAUGUUCAUGGUUUAAAGAUUCCCAGUCAAAGAACACACCUCAAUCCAAUUGAGAAUCUAAGGCAAGAUUUGAAAACUGCUGUUCUGAUGCUCUCCAUCCAAUCUGACUGAGCAUCAAGAAGAAUGGAGGAACAUGUGCAAAGCUGGUGGAGACAUUCCCCAAAGGACCUGCAGCUGAAGGUGCAGAGAACCUUCUACCAAGUUUUGAACGGGGACACACGCAUUUAUUUGUCGUUAUUUGUGUCACAAUAUAAAGUAUUUGAUGCCCUCGGAGUACUUUGCAUGUUGUGUUGAUCAAAUGGGAAAAUUCUAUUUUUUUUUCUAAAAUUCUACGUCGUGACGUCAUCGUGUGCAUUCAUCGGCCAUCCGCUCACAGACGACGUUGACGGAGGAAGCCACAUCCGGGUAUGUAGCGCUGCGUCCUCUCCUCCAUCUCCCGCUGCAUCCUCCACCCUGCAGAUAAACAGGAGGACAGACGGACAGACAGACGGACAGACAGACAGACAGCUGGAUCUCUUUCGGCUUCAGGUUCGUUUUCUUCUUUCUCGUGAUCGUAAUUUCAGAUCGGUCCGUUUCUCUUUAACUGACGACAGACAGACAGAGAGACAGACAGAGAGACAGACAGAGAGACAGACAGAGAGACGGGGAGAGAGACGGGGAGAGAGACAGGGAGCGAGACAGCAAAGAGACAGGGGCGAGAGACAGGCAGAGAGACAGGGCGAGAGACAGCAGAGAGACAGACAGAGAGACAGCAGAGAGACGGGGAGAGAGACAGCAAAGAGACAGGCAGAGAGACAGGGCGAGAGACAGCAGAGAGACAGGGCGAGAGACAGGCAGAGAGACAGGGCGAGAGACAGCAGAGAGACAGCAGAGAGACAGGGAAAGAGACAGCAGAGAGACAGGGGAAAGAGACAGCAGAGAGACAGGGCGAGAGACAGCAGAGAGACAGGGAAAGAGACAGCAGAGAGACAGGGGAAAGGCAAUACAAACAUGAACUAAUAUUUGUUAAAUGUUUAUUUAGUUUCUAAAUAAUUAACAUGACAAUUGUCCCUCACAACUUGUUUACUAAUGACCAGACAAUAAUAUCAAUCAGAAUACUAUUACUGAUCAUAUUGUAGUAGUGUAUAUUAUUGAUCAUUUUGUUGUCAAUAAUAUAAAUAUGAUCAAUGAUAAGAUUUAUCUUCAAUAUCAAUAAUAGUGUAAAUAUUUUUAUUGAUAUAAUCACAUCACAUGUCAUUUAUCUGACGCUUUUAUCCAAAGCAACUUACAAUAAGAACAUUUAACCAUAAGGACACAAACUCAGAAGAACAAGAAACAAGAAAGUGUGAUUUCAUAAAUUAAACCGAUAUGAUAUCUGUUAUCUAUAGCAAGUUGUAUAAGUCCAAUGUCAGUGCUGCAGUCAGUUAGUGUGUUAGUGGAGGUAGAGUGUGAAGAGGUGUGUCUUUAGUCUGAAGAUGUGAAGGCUCUCUGUGGUCCUGAUGUCUUCAGAGACCUCCUUCCACCAUUUAGGAGCAGGACAGCAAAGAGUGGAGAUCUAGUCGAGUGUUUUGCUCUCAGUGAGGAGGAACAAGCAGUUUAUCACAUGCAGAGAGGAGAGGUCAGAGGUCGGGAUGUCGGGUUGGACCAGGUCCUGGAUGUGAGCUGGACCCCAUCCAUUCACAGCAUGGUACGUGAGCACCAUGUUUAGAACUGGAUGAGCCACCGGUACCAGUGAAGAGAGCGGAGGAGUGGAGGAGUGAGGGAGAACUUAGGAAGGUUAAAGACCAGUGGAGCUGCUGCAUUCUGGAUGAGCUGCAGAGGUGGAAUGGUGGUAGCAGGAGACCUGCAGGAGAGAGUUACAGUAGUCCAGGAGGGAGACGACAAGAGCCUGAAUCAGUACCUCCUUCUGAGUGAGAAGAGGACGUGUUCUCCUCAUGUUGUAGAGCGAGUAUCUACAGGAUGGUGUUGUCAGUGAUGUUGGAGUCAGGGAGAGUCGGCUGUCGACGUCACGCUGAGGUUCCUGCAGUCAAAGUGGACGUUAACACGGAGUCUCAAAGUUAACAGUCAGGUCCUGUGUAGGAGAAUCUUUUCCCAGAAAGAGAAGUAGUUCCGUCUUGUCGGGGUUGAUUUUCAGAUGGUGGGCGGAUCCACUGAGAGAUGUCAGUCAGACAGGCAGAGAUCCGAGUGAGGGAAGGAGAGGAUUAGUUGGUGUCAUCAGCAUAGCUGUGGUAGGAGAAGCCAUGCGAGCGAAUGACAGCGCAGAGAGAGUUGGUGUAGAGCGAGAAGAGGAGGAGACCCAGGACGGAACCCUGAGGAACUCCAGUAGUAAGAGGACAAGGUUCCGACACAGAUCCUCUCCAGGUUACUCGGUAGGUGCGUCCGUCGAGGUAGGACGAGAGAAGGGAGAGAACAGAGCCUGAGACACCAAGUUCCUGAAGGGAGGAGACAAGGGUCUGCUGGUUGACUGUGUCAAAUGCAGCAGAGAGGUCCAGAAGGACGAGGACAGAGGAGAGAGAGGAGCUCUAGCAGUGUGGAGCUGCUCUGAGACAGCGAGGAGAGCAGUCUCUGUGGAACGGCCUUGAAGCCUGACUGGUGGGGGUCAAGGAGGUUGUUAUGGUGGAGAUAAGAGGAGAGCUGGUUAAAGAUCACACGUUCAAGGGUUUUGGGCAAUCAGGGAAGAAGAGAGACCGGUCUGUAGUUGUGUUCUUCAGACGGGUUGAGGGUGGGUUUCUUCAGGAGAGGGUUGACUCUUCUCCUUCAGAGAAAACAUCCAGAUAACAGAGCGUUGUUGAUGAGACAGGAUCUGGAAUGACCGUUAAUUGACAAGCAGGCAGGCAGGAGACAAACUAAUAAGAUGGAGAAUUCGUGACAGAGCUGAUAGAGGAGGAACAGAGGAGGCCGGAGAGGGAGAGAGGGAGGGAAUGUCUCGACGGACUGUUACAGAGUUAGUUCAUGGGUCGCUAGUUAUAGAAAGUGGGAGAUGAAGGAGUGGUGGUAUUGAUUAUAUUUGUAUGAAUAAUAAUAUCAGUAAUAAUGUAAUACUGUAAAAGUAGC
Gasterosteus aculeatus aculeatus (three-spined stickleback) is the source of this 5044-nucleotide long non-coding RNA. The record is from Ensembl. Lineage: Eukaryota; Metazoa; Chordata; Actinopteri; Perciformes; Gasterosteidae.